GGGAAGGUGGCUCAGUGGUAGAGUGCUUGCCUUGAAGGCAUGAGGUCCUGGGUUCAAUUCCUCCUCAUCA
This 70-nucleotide transfer RNA is filed under the name Dipodomys ordii (Ord's kangaroo rat). It matches the Rfam family "tRNA". From Rfam's summary of the family: Transfer RNA (tRNA) molecules are approximately 80 nucleotides in length. Their secondary structure includes four short double-helical elements and three loops (D, anti-codon, and T loops). Lineage: Eukaryota; Metazoa; Chordata; Mammalia; Rodentia; Heteromyidae. The record is from Rfam by way of RNAcentral.